GGAUUAGGCAUGCAAGUCGCACGAGAAAGGCUUCUUCGGAAGCCGAGUAAAGUGGCGAACGGGUGAGUAAUGCAUAGACAACUCGCCCUUGAGAUGGGGACAACGCCUCGAAAGGGGUGCUAAUACCCAAUGCCGCCUUGGGCCUGCGGGUCCAGGGUGAAAGGAGGCCUCUGAUUCAAGCUUCCGCUCAAGGAGAGGUUUAUGUCCUAUUAGCUAGUUGGCGGGGUAAAGGCCCACCAAGGCGAAGACGGGUAGCCGGCCUGAGAGGGUGGUCGGCCACACUGGGACUGAGACACUGCCCAGACUCCUACGGGAGGCUGCAGUCGAGGAUCUUCCGCAAUGGGCGAAAGCCUGACGGAGCGACGCCGCGUGGAGGACGAAGGCCUUCGGGUUGUAAACUCCUGUCAAGGGUUAUGAAAGAACGUAGGCGAACAGUCUACGGAGUGACGUAAGCCCUGAAGGAAGCACCGGCUAACUCUGUGCCAGCAGCCGCGGUAAUACAGAGGGUGCAAACGUUGUUCGGAAUCACUGGGCGUAAAGCGCGCGUAGGCGGCCAGACAAGUGUCGGAUGAAAUCCCACGGCUUACCCGUGGAACGGUUCGGCAUACUGUCCGGCUCGAGGGUGGUAGAGGAGAGCGGAACUCCUGGUGGAGCGGUGAAAUGCGUAGAUAUCAGGAGGAACACCGGUGGCGAAGGCGGCUCUCUGGUCCACAACUGACGCUGAGGCGCGAAAGCUAGGGGAGCAAACGGGGUUAGAUACCCCGGUAGUCCUAGCCGUAAACGAUGGGCACUAAGUAGAGGGGUUUU
This 807-nucleotide ribosomal RNA is filed under the name uncultured bacterium. RNAcentral describes it as "bacterial SSU rRNA". It matches the Rfam family "Bacterial small subunit ribosomal RNA", at positions 46 to 832 of the family's 1533-position model. The record is from RNAcentral.